This 472-nucleotide ribosomal RNA is filed under the name uncultured bacterium. Its description in RNAcentral is "bacterial SSU rRNA". It matches the Rfam family "Bacterial small subunit ribosomal RNA", at positions 335 to 798 of the family's 1533-position model. The record is from RNAcentral.
ACUCCUACGGGAGGCAGCAGUGGGGAAUAUUGCACAAUGGGCGCAAGCCUGAUGCAGCCAUGCCGCGUGUAUGAAGAAGGCCUUCGGGUUGUAAAGUACUUUCAGCAGUGAGGAAGGUGGGUAUGUUAAUAGCAUACUCAUUUGACGUUAGCUGCAGAAGAAGCACCGGCUAACUCCGUGCCAGCAGCCGCGGUAAUACGGAGGGUGCGAGCGUUAAUCGGAAUUACUGGGCGUAAAGCGCAUGCAGGUGGUUUGUUAAGUCAGAUGUGAAAGCCCGGGGCUCAACCUCGGAAUUGCAUUUGAAACUGGCAAACUAGAGUACUGUAGAGGGGGGUAGAAUUUCAGGUGUAGCGGUGAAAUGCGUAGAGAUCUGAAGGAAUACCGGUGACGAAGGCGGCCCCCUGGACAGAUACUGACACUCAGAUAGCGAAAGCGUGGGGAGCAAACAGGAUUAGAUACCCUGGUAGGCUCU